Triplophysa rosa is the source of this 3858-nucleotide RNA transcript. It is a transcript of the gene named gastrula zinc finger protein XlCGF8.2DB-like, with no coding region annotated. The transcript has 6 exons. The record is from RefSeq and is a predicted model, not a curated record. Lineage: Eukaryota; Metazoa; Chordata; Actinopteri; Cypriniformes; Nemacheilidae.
ACGUGUAAAGCUCAAAAGGCUGAUGUCAGAAACGAUGUAACGUUAGGACUUAAAUUGUAAUCUGUUCUGAGACCAGAUUUAUGCAUCCCGCGCUAUCGUUGUCUGCAGCCUGUGUAGUGCUAGAAUGCUAACGCUAGUUCCCAUUACAUUUUAAAUACGUUAAUGUGUUCUUCAAGAACCUUGUUUUUUUACUGACAAUGUACAUCAUAUAACACGGAUUUGUUGUAUUUGCUUUGUUUGCGUGAUAUUUCUGGUUCGUGUAGUGCUAAUUAUAAAUGAAAAGCCUUUGAGGGUUCUCAGCGUAACGUUACCAGAGAGUGAUUGACAGCACGACGUGAUAAUGUCCCACCACUUAUAACGAUGUAUUAAAAUAUGGGUGCAUUACUAAAAAGCACAAAUCUCAGGACAUGACAAAAUUUCUCCAGGAUUUAAAACCCACUCGGACCCCAGGGGGGUUAAAUGAUUGAUCUGCACAUAGAUGCAGCAUCUUUGCCUUCAUUAUGCAGACUACACAUAACAGAUUGUUCAUAAGAUUAUAUAGUAUAUACUGUACUUGUCAACUAAUAAUUCUGUUAUUGUGAGGUGAUGCAUUUUUGAAUUGUUUGACAUUAAAUUGAUAGCAUGUAGAGUACUCAUUUGUGCUGUAAACUAUGUGAUGCUGGACAUAUCAAAUAACUGUAUUUGUGUUCUUCUGUUACAGGUGUGGACUGAAACCACUGGAGCACGAGACAGGGGUGGAAAAAGAGCCCUUAACGCAGUCUGGCACAAAACAUCAGACUGUCAGCAGUUUAAGCGUUCAAAAUAUUUUUUGUUCAGUUGAGUUUAAAUUCACACAAACAGUGAUUGACACCUUCAGUGAAGCUCCUCCCACAUCAAUCCACCAAUAAAUACCAGAAACCAACAAGCAGAAGAAUCACUUCAGGUGUCAGAACUGAGAUCUUCAGACUGUUGUUGGAGUUGCUGGAAGAGAAGCUUGAGAACACGAGAGAUCCAGAACUACACAGAACACAAACUGAGGGACUAAAGAACACAGAGAUAUGAUGGAAGUGAAUAAGGACAGUCAAGAUGAAGUAAAAGAUGCUGAUGAGAAUCAUCAGUGUGCACAAAAAUCCCAGAAAGUUUCACAGAAAGGAGCUCUGAGAACAGGAGAUAAAAAGUGUGGAAACAAAUCCCUAAGACCCGGACACAUGAGAACUGACAGUGAUGAGAAGACGUUCACGUGUCAUCUGUGCGGGAAGAGUUUCACCUGUAAACGAGACUUUAAGACACACAUGAGGAUUCACACCGGAGAGAAACCCUUCACGUGUCAACAGUGUGGAAAGACUUUUAAAACUACAAGUCACCUAAUGGGUCAUUUGAGAACUCACACCGGAGAGAAACCCUUCACAUGCCGUGAGUGUGGAAAGAGUUUUAAAACUACAAGUCACCUUAAGAGACACAUGAGGAUUCACACCGGAGAGAAACCGUUCACGUGCAAACAGUGUGGAAAGAGUUUUUCAUUAAACAAUAACUAUAAGGAACACUUGAGAAUUCACACCGGAGAGAAACCGUUCACAUGCCAUGAAUGUGAAAAGAGCUUUAGCAGCACAAGUCACCUUAAAGAACACAUGAGGAUUCACACCAGAGAGAAACCGUUCACAUGUCUACAGUGUGAAAAGAGUUUUACAGCCUCAAGUAACUUUAAUAAGCACAUGAGAGUUCACACCGGAGAGAAACCGUUCACAUGCUCACACAGGUCUUCAUCAGAGCUGAAAGAAUGCAACUGCACAAAGAUUCAUCGAAACACAUCAGCAAAACGGUAUCCAAUGGUGUCCAUACAAUUUUUAUCAAGAGUUCUUUAUGAAUAUAUAUAUUUAAUAGCUACACUCCCGGCCGUGUUGAGACUACAGCGCUGACGUCAAGCUCCCUUUUCACAGCUAACCAAUGACAGUGACCUCUCGUUUCCAUAACAACAUGCGAGGUGCGUGAUUGGUCUAGAACGCUCAAGCUCAAAAAAUAAAAUGGCGGCUGAAACGCCCUUUGGAGCAUUGUUUUGUAAAGAUAUGUUAAUUUUCAAUUUCAACAACUUCUGAUUGCAUUUCUAGAGAGAAUUUAGUAUUGUAGUUUUUAAAUAAUUUUAGUUAUUGCAAAGACACUCUCUGUUUAUAAUUCAAGUAGACUUCGAUAGAAACGAAACCACACACAGGUUUCCAUUAACAGUAAAGUUUGACAUGAUAAACGUCAGAUCAAGAGCAGGUGCUGUGUGUGUGAUGGCCGGUAGGCUGCACUAUAACCUUCUGUUGUUUAAACUUGGCGAUGUGUUGGAACUGUAAUGCGGUCAGCAGACCUGGAACACUUUCAUAGGUGUGCAUUUAACUGAAAGUUAAUGCAUACCCAUAGAACGUUUGUCAACCAAUCAGAUUUAAGGAUUCAACAGCUCCGUGGUAUAAAUAUAUAUAGGCCCUACCCUUACGAAAAUUAACAAGUGUAGUAACCGUGGUUUUUGGUGCAUUGAUUACUUAGGGCAAAACCAUGGUUUUACUACAGUAACCAUCGUUUACUAUGGUUUUGACAAAAAAACAUGAUUUUCAAAACCAUGGUUAUUUUGUGAUAACCAUUGUUUUACUACAGUAGCCAUGGUUUUUCAAUUUGAACUGUAGUAAAGCCAUGGUAAAUUUUCGUAAGGGUGUAUAACGAUGGGGGGCGGGUUGUCUCGCAUCAUUGCGAUUUUUUUGACCCCGAUGUGUUUGCAUCCCUGGAUUUGUGUCUUCUGUAUGUGAUGGUGAUGGAUAAAAUCAACAGUACAUUAAUGUUCUAAUUAUUUACGUACUGAUAAGAUCCAAAAUGAAGAAGAGUAACGUCUAGAUUAAAUACAACUGUGUACAUUUUUGGCAUUUAUGUAAAGUAACUAAAGUACGCGGAUAUUCCACCUGGACUAAAGAGCCUCUACACUAAACAAUCAAAGAAUGUAUGAAACGAUCUUCGUGAGUCUAGUGUUGUGUGUGUUGCGUCUCCAGUCCAGCAGGAGUCGCUCUGCAGCUCUUCAGUCCGCCGAUAAACCCACUAAAGAAAGAAAGAAAGUCAAACAUCGAGCGCUGCGUGUUCACAUCACUCUGAUUUUCUCUCUUUAGUGUUUAAAACAGAGUGUUGUGUGUGUGUGUGUGUGUGUGUGUGUGUGUGUUGAGGAUGACGUCACAGAUGUGCUGUAAAUCAGUGGGAACUGAUCUGUCCAUGCUGGAUAUUGAUGAUUUCAUCACAGAAAUCUGUCAGCUGAAGAAAGAGGUGGCGUUACUGGAGGAAAAGCUGAGGACAAGAGGAGAUGAACUCAACACUGAGAUUGUGGUAAAGGUCGAGUCAAACCCCACAGACGCUCAGGACACUGUGUGUGACAGUAAUCACACCUUGAAUCAGGAUGAAUCUACUGAUCAAACCUCCACAGAGUCUCUGGAUUCUGUCUGUAACGCUGGAGAACAGCAGAUCCUGAACACCAGACCACUCAACAUGUGUUCUGUCACACUGGUGGACUGCAGGAAACUGAUGGAGAUGAAAACUGAACUCAUAGUAAAGGAAGAACAGACUGAUGAAGAUGAGAAUCAUGAUGAUUUUGUUCCUGCAAUCAAACUGGACACAAAAACAGAACCCACAUCAGAGGAAGAACAGCCUGAAGAAGAUGAGAAUGAUGAUUUUAUUCCUUCCGAUGAGAGCGGUGAUUCAUGUUGUGAUGGAGAAACGUCCUCUACAUCAAAACAGUGACUGACAGCACAAACUCUUUCCUGCAUCACCUGUGGAAAGACAUUCAGUUCACAGAGACGUUUAGAGACACAUGAGAGAAAACACACAGAACAGAAACUCUUCACCUGCACCAGAUGUGACAUCAGC